CAUCACUUGAUAUUGAAAACUCCGGUGGAUAGAGAUGGGCACGCGCAAGAUUAGAUAGUUGGUGAGGUAACGGCUCACCAAGUCUACGAUCUUUAGGGGGCCUGAGAGGGUGAUCCCCCACACUGGUACUGAGACACGGACCAGACUCCUACGGGAGGCAGCAGUGAGGAAUAUUGGACAAUGGGUGAGAGCCUGAUCCAGCCAUCCCGCGUGAAGGACGACGGCCCUAUGGGUUGUAAACUUCUUUUGUAUAGGGAUAAACCUAGAUACGUGUAUCUAGCUGAAGGUACUAUACGAAUAAGCACCGGCUAACUCCGUGCCAGCAGCCGCGGUAAUACGGAGGGUGCAAGCGUUAUCCGGAUUUAUUGGGUUUAAAGGGUCCGUAGGCGGAUUUGUAAGUCAGUGGUGAAAUCUCACAGCUUAACUGUGAAACUGCCAUUGAUACUGCAAGUCUUGAGUGUUGUUGAAGUAGCUGGAAUAAGUAGUGUAGCGGUGAAAUGCAUAGAUAUUACUUAGAACACCAAUUGCGAAGGCAGGUUACUAAGCAACAACUGACGCUGAUGGACGAAAGCGUGGGGAGCGAACAGGAUUAGAUACCCUGGUAGUCCACGCCGUAAACGAUGCUAACUCGUUUUUGGGCUUUUGGGUUCAGAGACUAAGCGAAAGUGAUAAGUUAGCCACCUGGGGAGUACGAACGCAAGUUUGAAACUCAAAGGAAUUGACGGGGGCCCGCACAAGCGGUGGAUUAUGUGGUUUAAUUCGAUGAUACGCGAGGAACCUUACCAAGGCUUAAAUGGGAAAUGACAGGUUUAGAAAUAGACUUUUCUUCGGACAUUUUUCAAGGUGCUGCAUGGUUGUCGUCAGCUCGUGCCGUGAGGUGUUAGGUUAAGUCCUGCAACGAGCGCAACCCCUGUCACUAGUUGCCAUCAUUAAGUUGGGGACUCUAGUGAGACUGCCUACGCAAGUAGAGAGGAAGGUGGGGAUGACGUCAAAUCAUCACGGCCCUUACGCCUUGGGCCACACACGUAAUACAAUGGCCGGUACAGAGGGCAGCUACACAGCGAUGUGAUGCAAAUCUCGAAAGCCGGUCUCAGUUCGGAUUGGAGUCUGCAACUCGACUCUAUGAAGCUGGAAUCGCUAGUAAUCGCGCAUCAGCCAUGGCGCGGUGAAUACGUUCCCGGGCCUUGUACACACCGCCCGUCAAGCCAUGGAAGUCUGGGGUACCUGAAGUCGGUGACCGUAACAGGAGCUGCCUAGGGUAAAACAGGUAACUAGGGCUAAGUCGUAACAAGGUAGCCGUACCGGAAGGUGCGGCUGGAACAUCUCAUUUU
RNAcentral lists this ribosomal RNA (1331 nucleotides) under Chryseobacterium aquifrigidense. RNAcentral's name for it is "bacterial SSU rRNA". It matches the Rfam family "Bacterial small subunit ribosomal RNA", at positions 189 to 1533 of the family's 1533-position model. The record is from RNAcentral. Lineage: Bacteria; Pseudomonadati; Bacteroidota; Flavobacteriia; Flavobacteriales; Weeksellaceae.